This 253-nucleotide ribosomal RNA is filed under the name uncultured bacterium. RNAcentral's name for it is "partial 16S ribosomal RNA". It matches the Rfam family "Bacterial small subunit ribosomal RNA", at positions 524 to 776 of the family's 1533-position model. The record is from RNAcentral.
UACAGAGGGUGCAAGCGUUAAUCGGAAUUACUGGGCGUAAAGCGAGCGUAGUCGGUUAUUUAAGUCGGAUGUGAAAUCCCCGGGCUCAACCUGGGAAUUGCAUUCGAUACUGGAUAGCUAGAGUUCGGCAGAGGGAAGCGGAAUUUCUGGUGUAGCGGUGAAAUGCGUAGAUAUCAGGAGGAAUACCGAUGGCGAAGGCAGGUCUCUGGGCUGACACUGACGCUCAUGCACGAAAGCGUGGGGAGCAAACAGG